AGUGAACGCUGGCGGUAGGCCUAACACAUGCAAGUCGAACGGCAGCACAGUAAGAGCUUGCUCUUACGGGUGGCGAGUGGCGGACGGGUGAGGAAUACAUCGGAAUCUACUUUUUCGUGGGGGAUAACGUAGGGAAACUUACGCUAAUACCGCAUACGACCUACGGGUGAAAGCAGGGGAUCUUCGGACCUUGCGCGAUUGAAUGAGCCGAUGUCGGAUUAGCUAGUUGGCGGGGUAAAGGCCCACCAAGGCGACGAUCCGUAGCUGGUCUGAGAGGAUGAUCAGCCACACUGGAACUGAGACACGGUCCAGACUCCUACGGGAGGCAGCAGUGGGGAAUUUUGGACAAUGGGCGCAAGCCCGAUCCAGCCAUACCGCGUGGGUGAAGAAGGCCUUCGGGUUGUAAAGCCCUUUUGUUGGGAAAGAAAAGCAGCAGGUUAAUACCCCGCCGUUCUGACGGUACCCAAAGAAUAAGCACCGGCUAACUUCGUG
RNAcentral lists this ribosomal RNA (492 nucleotides) under uncultured bacterium. RNAcentral describes it as "partial 16S ribosomal RNA". It matches the Rfam family "Bacterial small subunit ribosomal RNA", at positions 29 to 507 of the family's 1533-position model. The record is from RNAcentral.